GAUGAACGCUGGCGGCGUGCCUAAUACAUGCAAGUCGAGCGAACGGACGAGAAGCUUGCUUCUCUGAUGUUAGCGGCGGACGGGUGAGUAACACGUGGAUAACCUACCUAUAAGACUGGGAUAACUUCGGGAAACCGGAGCUAAUACCGGAUAAUAUUUUGAACCGCAUGGUUCAAAAGUGAAAGACGGUCUUGCUGUCACUUAUAGAUGGAUCCGCGCUGCAUUAGCUAGUUGGUAAGGUAACGGCUUACCAAGGCAACGAUGCAUAGCCGACCUGAGAGGGUGAUCGGCCGCACUGGAACUGAGACACGGUCCAGACUCCUACGGGAGGCAGCAGUAGGGAAUCUUCAGCAAUGGGCGAAAGCCUGACGGAGCAACGCCGCGUGAGUGAUGAAGGUCUUCGGAUCGUAAAACUCUGUUAUUAGGGAAGAACAUAUGUGUAAGUAACUGUGCACAUCUUGACGGUACCUAAUCAGAAAGCCACGGCUAACUACGUG
RNAcentral lists this ribosomal RNA (497 nucleotides) under uncultured bacterium. RNAcentral's name for it is "partial 16S ribosomal RNA". It matches the Rfam family "Bacterial small subunit ribosomal RNA", at positions 28 to 507 of the family's 1533-position model. The record is from RNAcentral.